UUGACCUCAAAUCAGGUAGGACUACCCGCUGAACUUAAGCAUAUCAAUAAGCGGAGGAAAAGAAACUAACGAGGAUUCCCCUAGUAACUGCGAGUGAAGCGGGAAGAGCUCAAAUUUCGAAUCUGGCGGUCCUCGGCCGUCCGAGUUGUAAUCUAGAGAAGCGUCU
This 166-nucleotide ribosomal RNA is filed under the name Scleroderma citrinum. RNAcentral's name for it is "partial 28S ribosomal RNA". It matches the Rfam family "Eukaryotic large subunit ribosomal RNA", at positions 1 to 163 of the family's 3401-position model. Lineage: Eukaryota; Fungi; Basidiomycota; Agaricomycetes; Boletales; Sclerodermataceae. The record is from RNAcentral.